AAGUAUCGUUUUUUUAAAGCAAAUCUCCGAGACGACCAAUUUUUUGUCUUUCGAUA
RNAcentral lists this transfer RNA (56 nucleotides) under Diaphanoeca grandis. Lineage: Eukaryota; Choanoflagellata; Acanthoecida; Stephanoecidae. The record is from RNAcentral.